CCGGGCGGUGGCGCGGCGGAGGGCGUCCCCGGCCGGGCCGGGGCGCCGUGGUCCGGGCCCGCCUGCCCGGC
Molecule: transfer RNA, 71 nt
Filed under: Streptomyces hygroscopicus subsp. hygroscopicus
Lineage: Bacteria; Bacillati; Actinomycetota; Actinomycetes; Kitasatosporales; Streptomycetaceae
Description: tRNA-Pro
Source: RNAcentral